GAUAUAUUGGGCUUGUGCAUUUGAUGAUUAUGCAAAGAAAGAAUGUGAGAAAAAUAGAGUGAGCUGAGACACAGAGUUUUGAGAGAGUGAGAUCUGAGAGUUGUAGAGGAGCCGAGAGACUAUAGAGGAGGCAAGAGCUUGAGGAUUGAUGAUCCAGAGGGGACAUUCUUUUUCAGGGGCCAGAGCUUAAGAAACAUGGAGCAAAAGUUAAACCACCAUCCCCAACAUCAUACCUCAACUCUCUCUCUCCACAACCUGUUACCUCAACCCAAUCCAUUAAUCCCAGAUAAACUACAAUGGAUUCCAUCACCAUAAGACAAAUUUUCUAUUGCCAAACCUGUGGCUUUCACAUUCUUCCCUCCUCAUGGAAUGAUCAGGUUGCAUGGGUUGCUCACCAUUGGAAGGGUAAGGCUUUAGACUACAGAGCACAUACAUCUCGUUUGGCACUUACUUCUCUGGUUUAUAAUAUCUGGUCAGAGGGUAACCGCGGAAUCUUUAAGAAGAAAAGACUAUCUGCAAACUCAAUUUUGAACGAAGUUCGGGAAUCAAUUCGAUUCAAACUGAUAGCUGAUCCUCCUCUUGAUUCCCUAAUUAACAGGCGUAUUGUAAUUGAAUAGGACAUCCAUUGGUCCAUACUUCGUCCUCCUCCAAGACCGCCGAACGAGGAAUGGAAUAGUGAAGCAUCUCGUCGCUGGUUGCUUCACUCAGUUGCUCCAAUGGCUGUUUCACCAGAAUUUGUGACUAACUGUUAUGUUUGUUUGUUUGUUUGUUUGGGUUGGGAUUUAUCUUAAGUCAUGUUGGGCUCUUUGUAUGGGCUGAAUCUGGUUGCCUUCUUAUGGACUGGGCUUUUGUAACUCUUUGCCUAUCUCAA
Molecule: long non-coding RNA, 871 nt
Organism: Cornus florida
Lineage: Eukaryota; Viridiplantae; Streptophyta; Magnoliopsida; Cornales; Cornaceae
Exons: 2
Source: RefSeq, a predicted model, not a curated record